UCAAACUUGGUCAUUUAGAGGAAGUAAAAGUCGUAACAAGGUUUCCGUAGGUGAACCUGCGGAAGGAUCAUUACUGAAGUGCUUUGGAGAUGUUUGCUGGCUUCUCUUUUGAAGCAAUGUGCACUCUCCGGACUUUCACUUAUCUCCUUUAAACCCUUGUGCAUCCCUUGUAGGGGCUUUCCUCCCCCUCUCUCGAAGGGGGAAGGUUAGACUCUAUGUCUAUUUUUUGAUAACACCCCUUUGAAUGUAUGUGCAUGUUGCUAUUGUAUUAAAAACAACUUUCAACAAUGGAUCUCUUGGCUCUCGCAUCGAUGAAGAACGCAGC
RNAcentral lists this unclassified non-coding RNA (325 nucleotides) under uncultured fungus. Its description in RNAcentral is "partial contains small subunit ribosomal RNA, internal transcribed spacer 1, and 5.8S ribosomal RNA". The stretch from base 1 to 73 matches the Rfam family "Eukaryotic small subunit ribosomal RNA", at positions 1759 to 1831 of the family's 1831-position model. Lineage: Eukaryota; Fungi. The record is from RNAcentral.